RNAcentral lists this ribosomal RNA (1387 nucleotides) under uncultured bacterium. RNAcentral's name for it is "bacterial SSU rRNA". It matches the Rfam family "Bacterial small subunit ribosomal RNA". The record is from RNAcentral.
UAGAGUUUGAUCCUGGCUCAGGAUGAUUGCUAGCUACCGGCUUAACACAUGCAAGUCGAGGGGUAACGGGGGAGCUUGCUCCCGCCGACGACCGGCGAAUGGGUGAGUAACGCGUAUCCAACCUGCCUGAUGCCCUUGGAUAGCCCUUAGAAAUGAGGAUUAAGACAGGAUAUGUAGCCUUCCCGCAUGGGUCGGCUAUGAAACAGACAUCAGAUGGGGAUGCGUUGGAUUAGCUGGUUGGCGGGGUAACGGCCCACCAAGGCUACGAUCCAUAGGGGUUCUGAGAGGAAGGUCCCCCACAUUGGUACUGAGACACGGACCAAACUCCUACGGGAGGCAGCAGUGAGGAAUAUUGGUCAAUGGGCGGAAGCCUGAACCAGCCAAGUAGCGUGAAGGAUGACGGCCCUACGGGUUGUAAACUUCUUUUGCCGGGGGAUAAAAAACGCCACGUGUGGCGUCUUGCAGGUACCCGUGCGAAUAAGGACCGGCUAAUUCCGUGCCAGCAGCCGCGGUAAUACGGAAGGUCCGAGCGUUAUCCGGAUUUAUUGGGUUUAAAGGGAGCGCAGGCGGAGAUGUAAGCCAGCCGUAAAAUCGUCGGGCUCAACCCCGAUCCCGCGGUUGGAACUGCAUCCCUUGAGUGCGGGAGAGGUAGGUGGAAUUCGUGGUGUAGCGGUGAAAUGCAUAGAUAUCACGAAGAACUCCGAUUGCGAAGGCAGCCUACUGGUCCGUUACUGACGCUCAUGCUCGAAGGUGCGGGUAUCAAACAGGAUUAGAUACCCUGGUAGUCCGCACAGUAAACGAUGAAUGCUCGCGGUUUGGCCUUAUGGUUGAGCCGCCAAGCGAAAGCGUUAAGCAUUCCACCUGGGGAGUACGCCGGCAACGGUGAAACUCAAAGGAAUUGACGGGGGCCCGCACAAGCGGAGGAACAUGUGGUUUAAUUCGAUGAUACGCGAGGAACCUUACCCGGGCUUGAAAUGUGCAUGACGGACUGCAGAGACGCGGUCUUCCUUCGGGCAUGCAUGUAGGUGCUGCAUGGUUGUCGUCAGCUCGUGCCGUGAGGUGUCGGCUUAAGUGCCAUAACGAGCGCAACCCUUCCCGCCGGUUACCAUCAUUCAGUUGGGGACUCCGGCGGCACUGCCAUCGCAAGAUGUGAGGAAGGCGGGGAUGACGUCAAAUCAGCACGGCCCUUACGUCCGGGGCCACACACGUGUUACAAUGGGGGGCACAGAGAGCUGGAUCACGGCGACGUGGUUCGAAUCAAUAAAUCCCCUCCCAGUUCGGACUGGAGUCUGCAACCCGACUCCACGAAGCUGGAUUCGCUAGUAAUCGCGCAUCAGCCAUGGCGCGGUGAAUACGUUCCCGGGCCUUGUACACACCGCCCGUCAAG